ACACGAAGUGAGUGGCGAACGGGUGAGUAACACGUGGGUAACCUGCCCAGAAGUAGGGGAUAACACCUGGAAACAGAUGCUAAUACCGUAUAACAGAGAAAACCGCAUGGUUUUCUUUUAAAAGAUGGCUCUGCUAUCACUUCUGGAUGGACCCGCGGCGUAUUAGCUAGUUGGUGAGGUAAAGGCUCACCAAGGCAGUGAUACGUAGCCGACCUGAGAGGGUAAUCGGCCACAUUGGGACUGAGACACGGCCCAGACUCCUACGGGAGGCAGCAGUAGGGAAUCUUCCACAAUGGACGCAAGUCUGAUGGAGCAACGCCGCGUGAGUGAAGAAGGGUUUCGGCUCGUAAAGCUCUGUUGUUAAAGAAGAACGUGGGUAAGAGUAACUGUUUACCCAGUGACGGUAUUUAACCAGAAAGCCACGGCUAACUACGUGCCAGCAGCCGCGGUAAUACGUAGGUGGCAAGCGUUAUCCGGAUUUAUUGGGCGUAAAGCGAGCGCAGGCGGUCUUUUAAGUCUAAUGUGAAAGCCUUCGGCUCAACCGAAGAAGUGCAUUGGAAACUGGGAGACUUGAGUGCAGAAGAGGACAGUGGAACUCCAUGUGUAGCGGUGAAAUGCGUAGAUAUAUGGAAGAACACCAGUGGCGAAGGCGGCUGUCUGGUCUGCAACUGACGCUGAGGCUCGAAAGCAUGGGUAGCGAACAGGAUUAGAUACCCUGGUAGUCCAUGCCGUAAACGAUGAUUACUAAGUGUUGGAGGGUUUCCGCCCUUCAGUGCUGCAGCUAACGCAUUAAGUAAUCCGCCUGGGGAGUACGACCGCAAGGUUGAAACUCAAAAGAAUUGACGGGGGCCCGCACAAGCGGUGGAGCAUGUGGUUUAAUUCGAAGCUACGCGAAGAACCUUACCAGGUCUUGACAUCUUCUGACAGUCUAAGAGAUUAGAGGUUCCCUUCGGGGACAGAAUGACAGGUGGUGCAUGGUUGUCGUCAGCUCGUGUCGUGAGAUGUUGGGUUAAGUCCCGCAACGAGCGCAACCCUUAUUACUAGUUGCCAGCAUUAAGUUGGGCACUCUAGUGAGACUGCCGGUGACAAACCGGAGGAAGGUGGGGACGACGUCAAAUCAUCAUGCCCCUUAUGACCUGGGCUACACACGUGCUACAAUGGAUGGUACAACGAGUCGCGAGACCGCGAGGUUAAGCUAAUCUCUUAAAACCAUUCUCAGUUCGGACUGUAGGCUGCAACUCGCCUACACGAAGUCGGAAUCGCUAGUAAUCGCGGAUCAGCAUGCCGCGGUGAAUACGUUCCCGGGCCUUGUACACACCGCCCGUCACACCAUGAGAGUUUGUAACACCCAAAGCCGGUGGGGUAACCUUUUAGGAGCUAGCCGUCUAAGG
This 1391-nucleotide ribosomal RNA is filed under the name Pediococcus pentosaceus. RNAcentral describes it as "bacterial SSU rRNA". It matches the Rfam family "Bacterial small subunit ribosomal RNA", at positions 84 to 1462 of the family's 1533-position model. The record is from RNAcentral. Lineage: Bacteria; Bacillati; Bacillota; Bacilli; Lactobacillales; Lactobacillaceae.